This 544-nucleotide ribosomal RNA is filed under the name Oridorsalis umbonatus. RNAcentral describes it as "SSU rRNA". It matches the Rfam family "Eukaryotic small subunit ribosomal RNA", at positions 1220 to 1547 of the family's 1831-position model. The record is from RNAcentral. Lineage: Eukaryota; Foraminifera; Rotaliida; Alabaminidae.
GGGUCCGGACACACUGAGGAUUGACAGGCAAUAUUAAUACGUGUUUCGGCGCGUAUUAUGUUAAAUAUGCUAGUCCUUUCAUGAUUAUGUGAUAGGUGGUGCAUGGCCGUUCUUAGUUCGUGGAGUGAUCUGUCUGCUUAAUUGCGUUUCACUAAGAAUCUAUCAAUACGUGCGUUGCGGCACUUUGACCCCUCUCUGAGCGCGCGUCUUAGUUGCCUAGCUCGCACAAUUAGGUUCUGAAAGCAACGAACGUGACCGCAACCUCUUGUUGCCUUUAUACCAAACAUUUUUGCUGUUCUCAGCAUUAAUGCAAAAAGGCUUUUUAAACUAGAGGGACCGCUGUUACUUUCUUAAACCAGAGGAAGGUUGCGGCAAUAACAGGUCUGUGAUGCCCUUAGAUGUUCCGGGCUGCACACGUGCUACAAUGAUUGUUGCAGUGAGCAUCUCAUUUUUACACACCGCAUGCGCGAGUCCGUUUAUUCACUUCGGUGUUUUAAACGUGUAUUUCUGCGCGCGGUAAAGCCUGCUUCGAGAGUAAGUGGGU